Molecule: long non-coding RNA, 541 nt
Filed under: Homo sapiens (human)
Lineage: Eukaryota; Metazoa; Chordata; Mammalia; Primates; Hominidae
Description: HSALNT0226106
Source: RNAcentral
CGGCGCGCGCCUUUGCGACGGCGGAGUUGCGUUCUCCUCAGCACAGACGCGGAGAGCACCGCGAGGGCGGAGCUGCGUUCUCCUUUGCACAGAUUUCGGUGGUACUGCGAAGGCAGAGCAGAGUUCUGCUCAGGUCAGACCCGGGCGGGCGGGCUGAGGGUACUGCGAGGGCGGAGCUGCGUUCUGCUCAGCACAGACCUGGGGGUCACCGUAAAGGUGGAGCAGCAUUCUGCUAAGCACAGACGUUGGGGGCACUGCCUGGCUUUGGGACAACUCGGGGCGCAUUGACAGUGAAUAAAAUCUUUCCCGGUUGCAGCCGUGAAUAAUCAAGGUCAGAGACCAGUUAGAACGGUUCAGUGUGGAAAAUGGGAAACUAAAAGCCCCUCUGAAUCCUGGGCACCGAGAUUCUCCCAAGGCAAGGCGAGGGGCUGCAUUGCAGGGUCCAGUUGCAGCGUUGAAACACAAAUGCAGCAUUCCUAAUGCACCCAUGACAGCUAAAAUAUAACACCCACAUUGCUCAUGUGGUUAGGGUGAGGGUGAG